GAUGAACGCUGGCGGCGUGCCUAAUACAUGCAAGUCGAGCGAACGGACGAGAAGCUUGCUUCUCUGAUGUUAGCGGCGGACGGGUGAGUAACACGUGGAUAACCUACCUAUAAGACUGGGAUAACUUCGGGAAACCGGAGCUAAUACCGGAUAAUAUUUUGAACCGCAUGGUUCAAAAGUGAAAGACGGUCUUGCUGUCACUUAUAGAUGGAUCCGCGCUGCAUUAGCUAGUUGGUAAGGUAACGGCUUACCAAGGCAACGAUGCAUAGCCGACCUGAGAGGGUGAUCGGCCACACUGGAACUGAGACACGGUCCAGACUCCUACGGGAGGCAGCAGUAGGGAAUCUUCCGCAAUGGGCGAAAGCCUGACGGAGCAACGCCGCGUGAGUGAUGAAGGUCUUCGGAUCGUAAAACUCUGUUAUUAGGGAAGAACAUAUGUGUAAGUAACUGUGCACAUCUUGACGGUACCUAAUCAGAAAGCCACGGCUAACUACGUGCCAGCAGCCGCGGUAAUACGUAGGUGGCAAGCGUUAUCCGGAAUUAUUGGGCGUAAAGCGCGCGUAGGCGGUUUUUUAAGUCUGAUGUGAAAGCCCACGGCUCAACCGUGGAGGGUCAUUGGAAACUGGAAAACUUGAGUGCAGAAGAGGAAAGUGGAAUUCCAUGUGUAGCGGUGAAAUGCGCAGAGAUAUGGAGGAACACCAGUGGCGAAGGCGACUUUCUGGUCUGUAACUGACGCUGAUGUGCGAAAGCGUGGGGAUCAAACAGGAUUAGAUACCCUGGUAGUCCACGCCGUAAACGAUGAGUGCUAAGUGUUAGGGGGUUUCCGCCCCUUAGUGCUGCAGCUAACGCAUUAAGCACUCCGCCUGGGGAGUACGACCGCAAGGUUGAAACUCAAAGGAAUUGACGGGGACCCGCACAAGCGGUGGAGCAUGUGGUUUAAUUCGAAGCAACGCGAAGAACCUUACCAAAUCUUGACAUCCUUUGACAACUCUAGGGAGCCUUCCCCUUCGGGGGACAAAGUGACAGGUGGUGCAUGGUUGUCGUCAGCUCGUGUCGUGAGAUGUUGGGUUAAGUCCCGCAACGAGCGCAACCCUUAAGCUUAGUUGCCAUCAUUAAGUUGGGCACUCUAAGUUGACUGCCGGUGACAAACCGGAGGAAGGUGGGGAUGACGUCAAAUCAUCAUGCCCCUUAUGAUUUGGGCUACACACGUGCUACAAUGGACAAUACAAAGGGCAGCGAAACCGCGAGGUCAAGCAAAUCCCAUAAAGUUGUUCUCAGUUCGGAUUGUAGUCUGCAACUCGACUACGUGAAGCUGGAAUCGCUAGUAAUCGUAGAUCAGCAUGCUACGGUGAAUACGUUCCCGGGUCU
This 1368-nucleotide ribosomal RNA is filed under the name uncultured bacterium. Its description in RNAcentral is "bacterial SSU rRNA". It matches the Rfam family "Bacterial small subunit ribosomal RNA", at positions 28 to 1381 of the family's 1533-position model. The record is from RNAcentral.